Molecule: ribosomal RNA, 198 nt
Filed under: uncultured bacterium
Lineage: Bacteria
Description: partial 16S ribosomal RNA
Rfam family: Bacterial small subunit ribosomal RNA
Source: RNAcentral
ACGCUCGACACCUACGGGAUGCAGCAGUGGGGAAUAUUGCACAAUGGGGGAAACCCUGAUGCAGCGACGCCGCGUGAGUGAAGAAGUAUUUCGGUAUGUAAAGCUCUAUCAGCAGGGAAGAAAAUGACGGUACCUGAGUAAGAAGCCCCGGCUAACUACGUGCCAGCAGCCGCGGUAAUCUGAGCGGGCUGGCAAGGC